RNAcentral lists this ribosomal RNA (504 nucleotides) under uncultured bacterium. Its description in RNAcentral is "partial 16S ribosomal RNA". It matches the Rfam family "Bacterial small subunit ribosomal RNA", at positions 28 to 523 of the family's 1533-position model. The record is from RNAcentral.
GAUGAACGCUAGCGGCAGGCCUAAUACAUGCAAGUCGAACGGGAUCUGAGGGUAGCUUGCUACCCGAUUUGAGAGUGGCGCACGGGUGCGUAACGCGUGAGCAACCUACCCAUAUCAGGGGGAUAGCCCGAAGAAAUUCGGAUUAACACCGCAUAAUAAUACGCUAACACAUGUUGAUGUAUUUAAAUAUUUAUAGGAUAUGGAUGGGCUGGCGUGACAUUAGCUAGUUGGUAAGGUAACGUCUUACCAAGGCGACGAUGUCUAGGGGCUCUGAGAGGAGAAUCCCCCACACUGGUACUGAGACACGGACCAGACUCCUACGGGAGGCAGCAGUAAGGAAUAUUGGUCAAUGGGCGCAAGCCUGAACCAGCCAUGCCGCGUGCAGGAUGACUGCCCUAUGGGUUGUAAACUGCUUUUGUUAGGGAAUAAACCUUCUUCCGUGUAAGGAGCUGAAUGUACCUAAAGAAUAAGGAUCGGCUAACUCCGUGCCAGCCGCCGCAGUAA